This 422-nucleotide ribosomal RNA is filed under the name uncultured bacterium. Its description in RNAcentral is "bacterial SSU rRNA". It matches the Rfam family "Bacterial small subunit ribosomal RNA", at positions 355 to 774 of the family's 1533-position model. The record is from RNAcentral.
UAAGGAAUAUUGGUCAAUGGACGCAAGUCUGAACCAGCCAUGCCGCGUGGAGGAUGAAGGUCCUCUGGAUUGUAAACUUCUUUUAUCUGGGACGAAACACUUCUUUUCUAAGAGGCCUGACGGUACCAGAUGAAUAAGCACCGGCUAACUCCGUGCCAGCAGCCGCGGUAAUACGGAGGGUGCAAGCGUUAUCCGGAUUCACUGGGUUUAAAGAGUGCGUAGGUGGGUAUGUAAGUCAGUGGUGAAAUCCCCGAGCUUAACUUGGGAACUGCCAUUGAUACUAUAUAUCUUGAAUACCGUAGAGGUAAGCGGAAUAUGUCAUGUAGCGGUGAAAUGCUUAGAUAUGACAUGGAACACCAAUUGCGAAGGCAGCUUACUAUGCGGUGAUUGACACUGAGGCACGAAAGCGUGGGUAGCAAACA